UCCUAGUUGGGCCUGGGCACCUGCCCAGAACUUCUGAGCGGAGCGUUGUUCACAUGCCACUCAUUCUUGGCAGGCGAGAUGCAGAAGGCAUCGGUCUGUGAGCAUCAUCUCUCCUCUGCCGCCUGCCAAGGUUUAGACAGGACGUCUUUCUUCCCAGAGAAUGAGGGCAUCUUCCCAGCCGAUCUCCCAUCACCUGGACAGAUGAGGAAACCAAGCCACAGAGGUUUAAGCAACUUGCCGAAGGACACCCAGCUGAGAGGUGGUAUCAAUAGAACUUGAGCCUAAGCAGUGUGGCUCCAAAGCUCAUGUGUUGAGCCCUCAAGGCACAGAGUCAACCCUGGUACUGUGCACCUGGGCCCUCAGUCACCUCUGCUGGGAAGCUCUUUGGAAUUUACGGAAUGCCUUUCUGCAGCAUUCUGUCUUAUUUGCGUGACUGAGGAGGAUUUUGCCACUGAUGUCCUGUAUUUCAACAAAGCGUCCUGCUUGCAUUUUCUUUCACCUGCUUUGCAAUUGUUUAGUAAUACUUAAGUGCCAGGCUCUGGGUUAAGCACUUUAUGAAGCUUUCCACACAAUACCUGGGUUAGUUCCCUGACACUCUGUGAGGUGAGGGCUAUCACCUUUCCUACUUCACAGGGGGGCAUCUGAGGCCCCGUGAGGCUAAAUAGUUUACCCAAGGUCACAGGGAGAUGGAGUGAGCCAGAGGACAUCCGCUUGUGCCCUACUGAGGCCGGGGCUCCCCAAAACUCUGCAGUCCUGCCUCCCUCCAUGGGAGAUUCAGUACAAACCAAAUAGCCACCCAGAAAUCAACAGUGUUGACUUCCCCACCAAGAUGUGAUCCUUUAGCUUUGCUCUCUGAGGCCUUGAUGGGUUUUCCACAAAGACCCUCCUCUUCCCCAGGGUCUCCUUUCUCUCCCCCAUUCUUCAGAGACCUCCACAACAAAUCACUGCUUGGGAGCCAGUAACAAGAAUGCCAAUUAUUGUUCCAUGAACCAAGUGUAAAGUGGGGGCUUUCUGAUGGGAAAAGCAAGACUUAGAGCAAGUUUCUCAUCUCUGUGACUUUAACAUAUUUCCUACAUUUUUAGCAAAAUUAUAGAGGAUAGUUCCUUUUGGAAUCUUUUGAGCAGCCUCCAUUUUAAUUCGAGAUGGCAAAUUCAUCCACAUGUUAAACUUGAGCGACAGACCUGCCUUCUCUUUUAGAAUUAAUUCCAGUUUGGUCAAAAGCAACACUCUCUUCAAAAGUUAGCUUGGAGCCAAUGAACAGAGGAAAAGAAAAUGUUCAAGUGGUCUACUUAAACAAGACCUCGCUCCAUCCCACCAAUUAAAGAGAAAUUAAAACGGCUUCCAACUAGAACUUUAAAUGCCUCUGAAGGGGAAUUUCUGAAGAAAAAACCUUUGCCGUUCGAGAUACUUGUUAAAGAUAUCACAGUCUUCAAUCUCAAGGGUCCCUGGAUUCCCAAAAUCUUUGAUCAUCUAAAUUUAGCUGUUUUCAUAAACAUUUCAGACAGCAGGCUAAUUUUUAUUCCCUGGAGAGCCUCAUGCACUCAGACUGCAAGUCCAGGAAGAAUGUCAACUUUUAAGAACUAGUCAAAGCCUCGCUAAGACUAAGAGCCAGAUACCAGCUAUUCGGCUGACUUUAAAUCUGUGUCAUUACUCACUGUCCCUUGAAGAGGAACAUAAAAUUUUACUAUAUGCUGCUUGUAAUUCAACAAAUAAUUACUCAGCAGGUGAUGUGGGCAAGGCCUCCUCACAGGGUGCUGUGAAGGAAGCAGAGAUGAGCAGGCCUGGCUGCUGCCACUGCAGUCCAGCAAAACAAAGAACAUACAAUCCUACCAAUCAGGUUGCAGGUUGGUGCAAAAGUAAUUGCAGUUUUUGCCAUUACUUUUAAUAACAAAAACUGCAAUUACUUUUCCACCAAUGUAAUAAUAAGUGUGAAUGUGUGAGUGUAUGUGUGCAUGUGUGCACAUGUGUGUGUGUGUGUGUGUGUGUGUGUGUGUGUGCGGGUGCAUAUGCAUGCAUGCUUGUGAGAGGCAGUACACUCCAAGGACAAUUUGUUGGAAAAUAUGUCAUUGAAUCUGAGAUAUAAAGAAUGGAUAGAACUAUGGGUAAUUUUUCUGUCUUUCCAUUUUCCGUCUUUAUUGCUGGCAACUUGUUUAUGUGAUUAAUAAUAAUAAAGCAGAGAAAAAUGGGGAGGAGGUGAAGGCCAGUGUGUUCCGAGAGUACCAUGAAAGUGUAGGCCUGGAGGCUGGAAAUCCCAAGGCGGAUCAUUUAGAAAACAAUAUGCUGCUAAUAUCUCUUUUGUUUUGAAAACAAAUUCAUGACUGUGCACCUUUAUUUAGUAGCUGUAUGAUGUUUGCCCACACAGAUUUCUACUGCUACCAAUAAAAUGAUCUUUUACUAAGUCCUAGGAUAAUAGCCAAGAGCACCUGCCCUGGAGUCAGCCUGUAUGGCCGCAUGAGUUUGGGCAGGUCAUUUAAUCUUUUGAGCUUCAAUUUCUCAUAUUUGAUUUCAGAAUAGUAGUAGUACCUGGCUCAUAGAGUCAUCAAGAUGAAACGAGAUCACCUCUCUAAAAAAUACCUUGUCCAUUGCACACAGUAAAUGUUCUGUGAAAGUCCACAGUUGUUUCAACAUCUAGGGAGGAUCCUUUCAGCCCAUGUCUUCUUGGAGCUACUGAUCUGACCAUUUUGACCUAGUGGAUGGUUUUUUUUAACCAUAUAGUUUAAUAAAGAUGGACCACAAUACCCAUAUGUCCAUCACAUCACUUUAUCUUACCACUUUCUGUUACCCAGGCUUAAUCUUCUUGAAAGCAGAAUCUAGGCAUGCAGAUGAGAAAAUUGGCUCAGACCCUGUCUCCCAGUGGAGAGAUGUAGUAUCCAGCUAAAUCCUAGAACUUCUGACUUGAAUCCACUUCUUUUCCCAGUAUUUGAUACAAUCUGUUAAAUGUCUUAAUGUCAUGAAUGUGUUAAUGAGGAUUCAUUUUGUGGCAGAAGCAGGAAUCAGAACUGUGUCGUCCCCUAUGAUGAAACGUCCACUCUAGACUGCUCCUUCGAGGCAGGACUUAGAGGUCAAAAGGAUGCGACACAUCUGGUUUCUGGUCAUCUCAUGCUUUUCUUGUGGCUUCAUCCUCAGUCUGCACAUGGCUGGAAAAGCCUCCAGCAUCCCCAAACCUAUGUUUCAGGAGGCAUCCUGUGCUCAGUCCUGCCUUGGGGUCAUGAGUCCAUGCUUGAUGGGAUUAUGACAAUUAGCCAAGACAAGGUCACAAGUCACCAUCAACAAACCCCUUGGAGAAGGGUGUGAGGACUCUGCUUGGUCAAGAACAGGUCACUCAUUUCACCACGCAUCCAUCCCAACCACACUGAGCACAGAAGUGGGGCUGCUUCCACAGAGGUCAUUCAGGAUUCUGUUACCAGAAGAAAAGACACUGGGCAAGCCAAGUCAGCAUUUGUCCACUGAGGAAUUGCCCAUUACUAGAUAAUAGAGGAGAAAAUUAUUUUCUGGCUAACUGAGAGUUACACAUAGAUUCCCCUAUUUUCUUUCUUUCUUUCUUUCUUUCUUUCUUUCUUUCUUUCUUUCUUUCUUUCUUUCUUUCUUUUUUUUUUUUUUUGAGAGGGAGUCUCACUCUGUCACCAGGCUGGAGUGCAAUGGCACGAUCUCAGCUCACUGCAACCUCUGCCUCCCAGGUCCAAGCCAUUCUCCUUCCUCAGCCUCCCAAGUAGCUGGGAUUACAGGUGCUCACCACCAUGCCCAGCUAAUUUUUGUAUUUGUAGUAGAGAUGGGGUUUCACCAUGUUGGCCAGGAUGGUCUCAAUCUCUUGACCUCAUGAUCCGCCCACCUUGGCCUCCCAAAGUGCUGGGAUUACAGGCGUGAGCCACUGCGCCUAGCCAAAUCCCCCAUUUUCAAAUCACCAGAAUGUAAUAAAGUAGACUUCAAGGGUCACAUCACAAGAUGCCCCCAAUUUCUUAACCCGAGGGUUAACCUUGUGCACAUCUAUCCUUACUGUGAUGAACCUAAUCCCAUCUUUCCUAUUGUAAUGAGCUGAAAGAGUGGUCCAUAGAGGACCAUAACGAUGGAAGUGUUGGAGACAGUGGUGACUAGGACCACCACGAAAAGUCCUCCAAUAGUUACAGAACCCAAGCAUGGGUUCUCUAACCCAUACUGGAUUAGAGAAAAGUCCAAAGGGAGACAGGCUAACUAUCUCCUAAUAUGUGAGGGGCUGUCAUGUAUGGGGGAAACAUAUUGUUAAUUCAAUAUUCCAUUUAGAGGUAACAUUCCAUCGAAUGGGUGGAAGUUAUCAGAAGGCAGGUUUUGGCUCAACAGUGGUAUAGUGAAUGCUUGUUGAUUUUGCUCUCCAGCAUGCAUUCUUCCUUUUUCUGGUAAUGGCACCCUGAUUUUGUUCUUCGGAGACAUUUUCUCCAUUCUCAUUUCAUGUAGUUUGAGCAGCUUCCGUACCCACCUUCAAGAAAGUAGCCCGUGAUGGAGGUUUAGCCAGUCAGCUUAAUGCAUGCUCAGGCCACAGGCCCUGGCUGGUGGUGGCAGUCACUUUCUGUAUCCCUCAGCCCACCUGUGGUUUCUGCUGAGCCAGGGCACCCAGUUCCUAGGACCCUGGUAGUAUCACGCUCAAGCACCUGCUGUGACCCCCUGCUUUUCUGCCUCAGGCCUUUAUCUGAAGCCUACCCCCUGACCCUAGCACAUCCCAUCUGAAUUCAGCCCAGAGUGGGGAGGUGGAAGGGAGCAAAUGCCUCCAAAAAUGAUCUUCAACCAGUGGAGACAGGAGAUGGGGUGUCAAUGAGCCAUCACAUCUUGUCCUUCUAGGGGGCAUUCUACACAAUUUCUGAGGGACCCCGGUAGGGCUGAGCCUCAUUUGUUCAUAGCAGUAACCAGUUUCAUUAUAUAUCUUUUAUUGACUUUCCCUCUUUCCCUGGGCUCACCUUCCACAUUAACUGCUUGUACUCAAAUCUCAAUCUCAGGCUCUGUGGGUGAGUGGCAGGUGGCACCCAAAUGAAGUCAUUGGGAAUUGAUAUGUUAUCCAGUUUGGGCCAGUGAGAGAACAAAAACUCCCAAGAAUUAGAAGGGAGCCAUUGGUGUGGUGUCAUAAAAAAAUGAGUCUGAAUUUGCCAGAGACCACCAAGCAGAUCCAGAGGACAAAGCCAAGUAGAAGGAAACAGAGCUGAGAUGAAGCUUGGUGAUAUCCUUUGAGCCCUGAAUCAAGCCUCACCUGAACCCUACUUUACCUGGAAUCUUGAAAGUUAUGUAACCCAGUAAAUUCCUCUUUUAGCUCAAUUAACUGAAAGUGGAGGGGAUUUUUUCUACUCCACUUUCAACCAAAAGAUUCUGAACUAAAACCACAAAGAAAUAAGUUUCCAACCAUUAGCGCCGCCUCACAGUCAAUAAGGUUGCCUUGAAAAGUAUUGAGCUCCCCAUAAUUGAAGAGAUCCAAGCAGAACACAAUAAAACAUAUAUCUAAUGUGCUGGAGAAGGUUUCUCCUUCUACACUAAGUUUGUUUUAGGGGCUUAGGAGGCAAACUACACAAAUUCCAAGAUCCAUUUCAACUCUAACGUAUCGGAUUGACUAAUAAAAAUGAAUAAAUUGAUUCAACACCUCUCUGGCUAAGAGGUGACCAGUGACAGUGUUUCCAACUUUGGCCUUACUCAUCACACUGUAAUAUGGUUUGGCUACGUGUCCCCACUCAAAUCUCAUGUUAAAUUUGUAAUCCCCGGUGUUGAGAGGGAGGGACACAGUGGGAGGUAAUUAAAUCAUGGGAGCAGAUUUCCUCCUUGCUGUUCCUGCGAUAGCGAGUGAGUUCUCACAAGAUCUGGCUGUUUGAAAGUGUACAGCUCUUCCGCCUUCACUCUCUCCCUCUCCUGCUGGCCAUAUGAAAAUGUGCUUUGCUUCCGCUUCACCUUCUGCCACGAUUGUAAGUUUCCUGAGGCCUCCCUAGAAGCAGAAACCUGUACAGCCUGCAAAACCAGGAGCCGAUUAAACCUUUUUUCUUAGUCUCAGGUAUGUCUUCAUAGCAGUGCAAAAACGGACUAAUACACACUGCUUGCAUAGUAUUAAACAAUCACAUUUCAUUAAUAUGAUUAAUGAUUAAUCAUUGUUUCCCCUGCCAUCUCCCUACCCUCUGACAAUUUGGAUCACUGAUACUUAUUUAAAGCUUUUCUUUUCAGAAUUGCCUAAAUGCUACAUUCUCUACCUGUAUCAGAGGGUUGACAAGACAAUCAGCACACUCAGUGGUAAUAUCAGGUCCCAAAAAGAGACAUUCUCACUGAGGAGGAAUCAGUCAACCCCAGAGGCAGCAAGAAGGAUUCACAGCUUUCUGGUUACUAAAAUAAGGACUACUUUUACUCAGGACAAGCCUAAUUAUUAUUUUGAUGGCAGAAGGUUCAGAUAUGUUAUCCACAGGCUCACAGAUCUCCUCCCUCCACCCCAAAAGACCUGCUCCCACAAGACAUGCUACAUUAAUAUUUAUUUUUUCAGAAACAGCAUGCAUUAACAAAAUGAAUAAAGCAGCAGGAAGUAAGUGGUCUCAGAAUUUUUUUUAAUAAUAAAAAAAUCAGCUUAUUAAUGGUGAAAAUAUACCAACAGGCACUUGUUUUGAAGAAAGAUGUUCAACCUUGCAUACAGAAGGAGCUGCCUGGCAUGGUUAGCGGGAACACACUACAGAUGGGAGUGAAGUCCCCACUGAUGGCUGGAUGGAGGGGCCCCCAGCCACCUGCCCUCCCCACACAUUUGGAAGGAGAGACCACAAUACCAUGCUCAGAGCUACAUAAAUGAAAAAAAGAAAGAGGAGAGAGGCGAUAGCCCUUAACAUUUUUGGCCCAAGGAAAGAAGGUUUUAAUCAGAAAGCGCUAAUUCACUUAUGGUCAGCAGAAAGAUAAUAAGAGACAGACUUACUGACUGUUGUAAAAUGUAAUUGAUUAGGGUUUCUGAAUCUUAUUCAUUUUUUAAAAUGUUCUAUCUUGUAUUAUGUAUGCAGGUUGCUGGCUAUAUUUGUUCACUUCUCUCAAUUAUCUGCAUACAGAAAAUGUGACAAGGGCUGCUUUUCUUUUAAUUUACUCUUGUGAUCAAACGAGUUUCAUCCAUCAGGCAGCAGAAUCGUGAAAUGAUUUCCUUUACACAAAUACCAGUGUUUCAGUAAACUCACAAAUGGAUAGGAACGUGCAUAUAACCUCUCUCUCUCUCGCUCACUCGCUCACUCACUCUUCUCUCUCUCCCACAUCCCCUGCCCUGUUUUUCCAUGUGAUGGCUCCCUUUUCCUGUGGGCUGCUGGGAAAAUGGACAAUGGACAAGUGUAACACCCAUCACGAGAAGAACAUGGAGAAUAUGGACGAGUGGCACUGAGUGAGCCCCAACAAGGUGCCUUCCCCCAAGACUCAUCUGAGCUCUGCAAAGACGCAGCACAGCCCCACAGAUGGGCAGCCAACCAGGAGCCCAUCCCUCUUGCCAAUUCUCCCACUGGAAAGUGGAGGAUUCAGGGGAGGAAUCGGGUGGGAGGCACAGGGCAGUUUGGCCUUUCACAUCCCAUUUAAUUAGGCCUGAUGCUUGAAGGAAUAUCCCUGAACUUGGCUGAUGGAUAAGAAAAAGCUGACAUAUUUGGGCUAGACUUUUAGGCUUGGCAGAGUGUUCACUCCAUAGGGGCACAGGGAUCGAGUAUCAGAGGGAAAGAAGAGCACAAAGCUGGGGUCCAAAGACCAAAAGUGUGUCCGGCUUCUGUAUUAUCUGGCCUCCAACUAAACAUUCCCUUUCAUGCCUUCCUCUCUAGGCACAAAGACCCAUUCAACUGUGAAGCAACUUCAAUAAAUUCAACUCCACUGAUAGGGUACCAUGUGAGUCCCUAUGUGCUGGACUCUGUUCUGAGCAGUGGGCUACCAAGAUAAACAAAGAAAAAUCAGUGCCUUUUAGGAGGCCUUGGUUGAGCAAGGGAAGUGAGUCCAUAAAUAAAUAAUUAGAGAACAAAUGCAUCCACUUUAUUACCUGCUAGGCUUAUGUUAAAAUUCCCUUAAAGAUGGAAUGGCUUCUGUUAAGGCAAUUCAUAUCUCUCAAAAAUUGUACUUCUAGCACCGGGGCUUUAUGAACCAAAUUAAUGAUCAGAUGGGUUGAAGGGUUGAAGAUGAAAAUGGAGAUUUCCUGACGCUAUGGUUAAUGUGUGACAUCUAUUCUGGGGUGGCUUCCAGUCUCAGCUCUCCAAAGACAAAAAGACAAUAAACAGUGAGGACACCUAUUAUGGGCUGGAAUAUGUCCCUCCUCACCCCCCAAAUUCAUAUGUUCAAGUCCUAACCCCCAGUAUCUCAUAAUGUGACUAGAUUUGGAGAUAGGGGCUUUCAAGAGAAAAUUAAGCCUGUUUGGGUGAUCCCUAAUCCAAUAUGAUUGGCGUACUUCUGAGAAGAGGAAAUUUGGGCACACAAAGAGACCACAGGGGUACACAGAGAAACAGCCAUGUGAAGAGGCAGCAAGAAGGCCGCUGUCUGCAAGCCGAGGAGAGAGACCACAGGAGCAACCACCCCUCUGCAAGUGUCUUGAUCUUGGACUUCCAGCCUCCAGAACCCAGAGAAAAUAAAUGUUGAUGGUUUAAGCCACCCAGUCUGUAGGAUCACUAUGGCAGUCCUAGCAAACUAACACAGCAUGACUCCCUCUUAGCAAACUAACACAGCAUGACUCACUGAGCUGAUCUCCCCACUUGGCUGCCCAUGGAGAGGCCUUCAUGCCAGCCUCAGGCACCAGCACCCCUUGGUGGCAUUGUGCACCAAAGCACAAAGAUGGUGCAGUACCACCUUAUCCCCUGAGAAACUGCUUUGCCCCCAAGCACACAAAAAGGGAGCUCCUGGCCUCCUGAUUUUCACAGACUGAGCACUGAGCUCACUGCCCCACUGGCUCACUUCACUGAGCUCUGCCUAACCUUGGACUUUUCUACUCCAAUCCCACUCAGCCUCCUGGGACCUUCAGAUUUGACAUUCGGCAUCGUCUUGUAAACUUGGACUCUGACUCCCUCUUGCCCUCAAAUCCCAUUCAGUGUUGCCAGGACCACCUGGUCCUCCCAGCAUCGUGAGUGGACCCAGGGACCUCACAACAUUCCCACACUUCCUCAAAUCUCUCUUCACUCCAGACAGAACAACCCCACGAGCCAAGUGCCCACGUCUCCUCUCUGCCAGGGUGUCCCUAGCACCGACUCAAAGCACCAACUCAAAGCCUGGCACACAGUGUGGGCUUCAUAUACCUCUGGUGACCAAAUUCGCAGACUGGAUACAGACACAAGGAACAGCCUUUCUCUCGUAACCCCAUGCAUUCUCUCAAAGCAAGACUCCAGAAUCAAGUGAAAGCAUUUUAGAUUUAUUUAGAGUGUUAUCUGUUAUCAAGGAUGACGGGGGAAGGUUGGAGGACGCCGGAGCACUUCUGAGCACAUACAGCUAUAGAGGAAGGCAGAGCCACUGCUAAUUUCCCAAGUGGGAAAUACCCUGUCCCCAUUAGCGUUGGAUUUCCUGGCCUCCUGGCUUUACCACGGCUCCAGUGUUAGGUGAACCUUUAUUUUUAUAUUGCACAGAACACACACUCAGACCAAAAAAAAAAAAAAACAACAGUAAAGGGGUAUGCUUUUUCUCAGCUAUUGGAAAACAUAUAUAGGCUUCAUGGAUCCUACAUUACCUCUAAAAUUGUUUUCAGAUCUGGCCUGUCCUAUGUUAAAUCGCUCCCUCAUUUUUCUUUUUAUGUGCAGCCUUCAUUGUGAAACAGUUUUUGCAUCUGGACAAUGAAAUUGAACUUGCCUAAAGGGCAAGAAACAACGUAUAAUCAUAAAUUGAAAACUUCUCAGUUGGAAAGAAGUCACUGGAGGCAAACAGAUGAUGGGAAACUUUUGUUUUGUUUUGUUUGAGAUGGAGUCGCAUUCUGUCACCCAGGCUGGGGUGCAGUGGUGUGAGCUUGGCUCACUGCAACCUCCACCUCCCGGGUUCAAGCGAAUCUCCUGCCUCAGCCUCCUGAGUAGCUGGAAUCACAGGCGCCUACCACCAUGCCUGGCUAAUUUUUGUAUUUUUAGUAGAGACGGGGUUUCACCAUGUUGGCCAGGCUUGUCUUGAACUCCUGAUCUCAAAUGAUCUGCCCACCUUGGCCUCCCAAAGUGCUGGGAUUACAGGCGUGACCCACCGCACCUGGCCAAUGGUGGGAGACUUUUAAGAUUUAGGUAGUUACAUCAUCAUUCUCCAAGACCCAGCAUGAGCAGUCCAAGGAGGAACAUCAGAUCAGGAGUCAGAAGACCCAAGGUUGAUUGACAACCCCACCCCUUCAAAGCUGUGUGACAUUGGGGAAAUCACUUCACCUCUCUGAUUGUCCUUAUUUUUUUUUAUUAUUAUCAUACUUUUGCAUUUGUAAAAUAAAAGUGAUAUUUAUGCCAUGUCUGUCAUUAGGUCAUUGUAAAAUUCAAAUGAGACCUUUGCUAAAAUGCACCACUCUGUACAAGUAAAGGAAACAUACCAGGAAAGAACAUCUGAAGCUUGGAUUUAGAUUCCCAGUCUGCCAGUGAAUACUUCUGUGUCUGUGGGCCUGAGGUAUCACUUUCUCCUUUUACACUUCCGUUUC
Molecule: long non-coding RNA, 10564 nt
Filed under: Homo sapiens (human)
Lineage: Eukaryota; Metazoa; Chordata; Mammalia; Primates; Hominidae
Description: HSALNT0001937
Source: RNAcentral